AACGAACGCUGGCGGCAUGCCUAACACAUGCAAGUCGAACGAGACCUUCGGGUCUAGUGGCGCACGUGUGCGUAACGCGUGGGAACCUGCCCUUAGGUUCGGAAUAACUCCCCGAAAGGGGUGCUAAUACCGGAUAAUGUCUUCGGACCAAAGAUUUAUCGCCUUUGGAUGGGCCCGCGUUGGAUUAGCUAGUUGGUAGUGUAAAAGCCUACCAAGGAGACGAUCCAUAGCUGGUCGGUGAGGAUGACAAGCUAGACUGGGAAUGAGACACGGCCCAGCCUGCGAGGGAGGGGAGGAGUAGGGAAUAUAGGAGGAGGAGGGAAAGCGCGGUACAGCAACGUCGGGGAAGAGAUGAAGGGGUUUGGGUUGCAAAGUCCUUUUUGCCGGGAUGAGAAUGACAGUAACGGGAGAAUAAGCUCCGGCUAACUCCGUG
RNAcentral lists this ribosomal RNA (433 nucleotides) under uncultured bacterium. Its description in RNAcentral is "partial 16S ribosomal RNA". It matches the Rfam family "Bacterial small subunit ribosomal RNA", at positions 29 to 507 of the family's 1533-position model. The record is from RNAcentral.